RNAcentral lists this ribosomal RNA (504 nucleotides) under Scutellospora sp. Scut4. Its description in RNAcentral is "SSU rRNA". It matches the Rfam family "Eukaryotic small subunit ribosomal RNA", at positions 569 to 1078 of the family's 1831-position model. Lineage: Eukaryota; Fungi; Glomeromycota; Glomeromycetes; Diversisporales; Gigasporaceae. The record is from RNAcentral.
AGCAGCCGCGGUAAUUCCAGCUCCAAUAGCGUAUAUUAAAGUUGUUGCAGUUAAAAAGCUCGUAGUUGAAUUUCGGGGUUCUACCGUUGGUCGGGCAAUAGUCUGUACUGGCGUGUAGAAUUUCUACCUUCUGGGGAACCAUCAUGUUAUUAAUUUAGCGUGGUGGGAAACCAGGACCUUUACCUUGAAAAAAUUAGAGUGUUCAAAGCAGGCUUACGUCUGAAUACAUUAGCAUGGAAUAAUAAAAUAGGAUGGUGGUCCUGUUUUGUUGGUUUCUGAAUCACCGUAAUGAUUAAUAGGGAUAGUUGGGGGCAUUAGUAUUCAAUUGUUAGAGGUGAAAUUCUUGGAUUUAUUGAAGACUAACUUCUGCGAAAGCAUUUGCCAAGGAUGUUUUCAUUAAUCAAGAACGAAAGUUAGGGGAUCGAAGACGAUCAGAUACCGUCGUAGUCUUAACCAUAAACUAUGCCGACUAGGGAUCGGACGAUGUUAAUUUUUCUUGACUCG